Molecule: ribosomal RNA, 367 nt
Filed under: uncultured organism
Description: bacterial LSU rRNA
Rfam family: Bacterial large subunit ribosomal RNA
Source: RNAcentral
CUUUACUGUAACUUGGCAUUGAAUCUCGGGCUAGUAUGUGUAGGAUAGGUGGGAGCCUUUGAAGUUCCGGCGCCAGCUGGAAUGGAGGCGUCCUUGAAAUACCACCCUUAUUAGCUUGGGCUUCUAACUUAGAGCCGUAAUCCGGCUCAAGAACAGUGUCUGGUGGGCAGUUUCACUGGGGCGGUGGCCUCCCAAAUUGUAACGGAGGCGUACAAAGGUUCCCUCAGACCGGUUGGAAAUCGGUCGUAGAGUGCAAAGGCAUAAGGGAGCUUAACUGCGAGACUUACAAGUCGAGCAGGUGCGAAAGCAGGUCUUAGUGAUCCGGUGGCACCGCAUGGAAGGACCAUCGCUCAACGGAUAAAAGGUA